This is a long non-coding RNA of Scylla paramamosain (green mud crab), 1164 nucleotides long. RefSeq lists it as uncharacterized. The transcript has 4 exons. Lineage: Eukaryota; Metazoa; Arthropoda; Malacostraca; Decapoda; Portunidae. The record is from RefSeq and is a predicted model, not a curated record.
AGAAAAUAAAAAAAAAUUAAAAAAAAUUCAUAUCCGGAUCGUACAACGACACCCUUGAUGCAAAACAUGUUUGCGCGCCUGACGAUGUUAAGACACACGACACACACUUCCCUUGAGAAAAGAUGAUAGCCUUCACGAGUGUCUUACUAUUUCUUUGCAGAGCCCCUCUUCUUGAUGACGACGCGUACACUGUCAGCUACACUUUGCAGUGUCUCACUUAAAUUUUUCUCUAUCUUUGUAUCUCUCCAUUUCAGAUAAAUUGUUAUCUUUCCAAGGGUUGAGGAGAACAUGGUCGUGGUUCAAGUGAAGCCACUACAGCCACUCCCUGACAAGCCUUCCACACCGACAGACAGUGGCAGCAGACACACAAGAGACGAUGGUGUGGUGGACAAGAGGAUGCAGGGAGACAGCAGACAGAAUGGAAGCUACAGAUGAAAGAAGAGCAGGUCAAGCCAUGGCAGCAGACACAUAGACAGACAGAUUGGAUAAGAAAGAAGUAUUAUUUAGUGAGACAGGACCACUGGAAGCUGUCAGAGUGCUGUGGCACGUGGCAAGAACCAAGUGUUCAGGAGCACACACUGUCCCUUCACCAGUCAGCAGGUCUGGGCGGCUUGGAAGCCUCACUACAAACUGAAGACCCGUUCACUUGAAGGACACAGUUGGAGUCGGACACAAGAUCCAAGAGGGAGUUAUUUUUAAACGAGAGCUUCAGGCAGAAAAUUCGAGUGGAUUUUCAACUCUAAAAAUAACUUUUUUGGGGGGAUAUUUUGAACCUUCUUUAUCUUGAAAAAUAACUCCAGAUAUUAUGACUCUAGCUGGAAGUUGACCUGAGCAAUGUAGGGUUUGCUGCAGUGAGAUUACCAAGGCACGAGUGUCUGGGAUUUAAAGAUGAUGGAUAUGUGUCCUGUGUGCUGCUGUGCUGGGAGGAGAGGAGCAGCAGCAGUCGUGGGGCUCUGUUGCUGCUGUCACUGGUGCAGCUGUUCACUCCUGCAGCUACCUUCCCUCAACAUACUGUGUCUUCCCUCACCUGCAAUGAACAACUAUGAACAAUACUUCUCCUGCGAUGAGGAACAGUGAAUAACACCUCUCUCUCUCUCUCUCUCUCUCUCUCUCUCUCUCUCUCUCUCUCUCUCUCUCUCUCUCUCUCUCUCUCUCUCUCUCUCU